Molecule: transfer RNA, 63 nt
Filed under: Leptaulax koreanus
Lineage: Eukaryota; Metazoa; Arthropoda; Insecta; Coleoptera; Passalidae
Description: tRNA-Glu
Source: RNAcentral
AUUUAUAUAGUUUAAAUAAAACAUUAUAUUUUCAUUAUAAAAUUGAAUUUUCUUCUAUAAAUA